RNAcentral lists this ribosomal RNA (253 nucleotides) under uncultured bacterium. Its description in RNAcentral is "partial 16S ribosomal RNA". It matches the Rfam family "Bacterial small subunit ribosomal RNA", at positions 524 to 776 of the family's 1533-position model. The record is from RNAcentral.
UACAGAGGUGCCAAGCGUUGUUCGGAUUCAUUGGGCGUAAAGGGUGCGUAGGCGGUUGUGCAAGUCAGAUGUGAAAUACCGGAGCCUAACUCCGGAACUGCAUUUGAAACUGCACAGCUCGAGGUCUGGAGAGGUGAUUGGAAUUCUAGGUGUAGCAGUGAAAUGCGUAGAUAUCUAGAGGAACACCAGAGGCGAAAGCGAAUCACUGGACAGAACCUGACGCUGAGGCACGAAAGCUAGGGGAGCAAACGGG